AGUACAAGGUUUCGGUUAUAACCUAUAAAGCCCUAAACAGCUUGGGCCCUGGGUAUUUAAGAGAAUAUCUUCUUCAAUAUGAACCUCACCGCCCAUUGAGAUCAUCUGGAGAGCCACAGCUGGACUCCAAUGCCCAUCACCCUAUCGUCCAUCACAGCAGGGCAUGAUGGGAGCCACAACUGGGGACCCAAGUCUGAGAACCCCUAUCUUCUGGAAUUUAAAAGCUGUUGAAAUAAAACUCCUCCAGAUUCCCAUGAGAAGCUCUGCCUGGUUUCAAAACCUCUUCUCCAGCUCCCCAAAGAAACA
This is a long non-coding RNA of Hemicordylus capensis (graceful crag lizard), 306 nucleotides long. RefSeq lists it as uncharacterized. Lineage: Eukaryota; Metazoa; Chordata; Lepidosauria; Squamata; Cordylidae. The transcript has 3 exons. The record is from RefSeq and is a predicted model, not a curated record.